GUACACUCCUGCGGGAGGCAGCAGUGGGGAAUUUUGGACAAUGGGCGAAAGCCUGAUCCAGCAAUGCCGCGUGAGUGAAGAAGGCCUUCGGGUUGUAAAGCUCUUUUGUCAGGGAAGAAACGGUGAAAGCUAAUAUCUUUUGCUAAUGACGGUACCUGAAGAAUAAGCACCGGCUAACUACGUGCCAGCAGCCGCGGUAAUACGUAGGGUGCAAGCGUUAAUCGGAAUUACUGGGCGUAAAGCGUGCGCAGGCGGUUUUGUAAGUCUGAUGUGAAAUCCCCGGGCUCAACCUGGGAAUUGCAUUGGAGACUGCAAGGCUAGAAUCUGGCAGAGGGGGGUAGAAUUCCACGUGUAGCAGUGAAAUGCGUAGAUAUGUGGAGGAACACCGAUGGCGAAGGCAGCCCCCUGGGUCAAGAUUGACGCUCAUGCACGAAAGCGUGGGGAGCAAACAGGAUUAGAAACCCGUGUAGUCCC
RNAcentral lists this ribosomal RNA (474 nucleotides) under uncultured organism. Its description in RNAcentral is "partial 16S ribosomal RNA". It matches the Rfam family "Bacterial small subunit ribosomal RNA", at positions 331 to 797 of the family's 1533-position model. The record is from RNAcentral.